RNAcentral lists this ribosomal RNA (253 nucleotides) under uncultured bacterium. RNAcentral's name for it is "partial 16S ribosomal RNA". It matches the Rfam family "Bacterial small subunit ribosomal RNA", at positions 524 to 776 of the family's 1533-position model. The record is from RNAcentral.
UACAGAGGUCCCGAGCGUUGUUCGGAUUCAUUGGGCGUAAAGGGUGCGUAGGCGGCGGGGCAAGUCUGAUGUGAAAUCCCGGAGCUCAACUCCGGAACUGCCUUUGAUACUGGGGAUCUUGAGUCCGGAAGAGGUGAGUGGAACUCCGAGUGUAGAGGUGAAAUUCGUAGAUAUUCGGAAGAACACCAGUGGCGAAGGCGGCUCACUGGUCCGGUACUGACGCUGAGGUGCGAAAGCGUGGGGAGCAAACAGG